This 339-nucleotide unclassified non-coding RNA is filed under the name soil metagenome. RNAcentral describes it as "partial contains 5.8S ribosomal RNA, internal transcribed spacer 2, and large subunit ribosomal RNA". The stretch from base 1 to 120 matches the Rfam family "5.8S ribosomal RNA", at positions 35 to 154 of the family's 154-position model. The record is from RNAcentral.
GAUGAAGAACGCAGCGAAAUGCGAUAAGUAGUGUGAAUUGCAGAAUUCAGUGAAUCAUCGAAUCUUUGAACGCACAUUGCGCCCUUUGGUACUCCAAAGGGCAUGCCUGUUCGAGCGUCAUUUGUACCCUCAAGCUUUGCUUGGUGUUGGCGUCUUGUCUCUAGCUUUGCUGGAGACUCGCCUUAAAGUAAUUGGCAGCCGGCCUACUGGUUUCGGAGCGCAGCACAAGUCGCACUCUCUAUCAGCAAGGUCUAGCAUCCAUUAAGCCUUUUUUUCAACUUUUGACCUCGGAUCAGGUAGGGAUACCCGCUGAACUUAAGCAUAUCAAUAAGCGGAGGA